RNAcentral lists this ribosomal RNA (496 nucleotides) under uncultured bacterium. Its description in RNAcentral is "partial 16S ribosomal RNA". It matches the Rfam family "Bacterial small subunit ribosomal RNA", at positions 30 to 523 of the family's 1533-position model. The record is from RNAcentral.
AUUGAACGCUGGCGGCAUGCUUUACACAUGCAAGUCGAACGGUAGAGGGGGCAACCCCUUGAGAGUGGCGAACGGGUGAGUAAUGCAUCGGAACGUGCCCAGUCGUGGGGGAUAACGCAGCGAAAGCUGUGCUAAUACCGCAUACGAUCUCUGGAUGAAAGCGGGGGACCGAAAGGCCUCGCGCGAUUGGAGCGGCCGAUAUCAGAUUAGCUAGUUGGAGAGGUAAAGGCUCACCAAGGCGACGAUCUGUAGCUGGUCUGAGAGGACGACCAGCCACACUGGAACUGAGACACGGUCCAGACGCCUACGGGAGGCAGCAGUGGGGAAUUUUGGACAAUGGGCGAAAGCCUGAUCCAGCAAUGCCGCGUGCAGGAUGAAGGCCUUCGGGUUGUAAACUGCUUUUGUACGGAACGAAACGGUGAGCUCUAAUACAGUUUGCUAAUGACGGUACCGUAAGAAUAAGCACCGGCUAACUACGUGCCAGCCGCCGCAGUAA